RNAcentral lists this long non-coding RNA (4828 nucleotides) under Schizosaccharomyces pombe (fission yeast). Lineage: Eukaryota; Fungi; Ascomycota; Schizosaccharomycetes; Schizosaccharomycetales; Schizosaccharomycetaceae. The record is from RNAcentral.
UUUUUGUAAGAAUGGAUUUAGAAAACACAUUCGUAAUUUUUUUUAUGGCUACAGCCUCUUGAUCUUUGCUAGCCACGUUUCUUGCUGCACAAACAAUGCCGUAAGCGCCUUGACCCAACUCCUUCACUACCUAAACUAUGUUAGUUUUCCUAAAAGUUCAAGCAGAUGCGAUUUUCUGUCAAGUAAACAAAAUGUUUUGCAAAUGCAGCAGUUACCCAAAUAUCUCAUACCUUAAAAUUAGGCUCGACAUACAUCUCCUGGUUAAACACACGGUAAACACGAUGUCGACGGUCCAUCCUUGCGACUUAUAGCAUGCAACUUGAAUUUUUAGCUGUUUGGCAAAAGGGAUGUGGAAAAAACUACAGUACAUCACUUGUAGUGAUUAACGAUGCCUUAUAUUUCACUAUUUGAAUGCAAGUCGGUUAGAUUUGAAGACUAUCAGAUGGAAUUUAUGGUAUUAAAGAAUAUGCAUACAAAUCUAAUAAAUAUAUGAGGAAUACUAAAAGAAACUAGGUCCAGAGUUCAAGACUACCAAAAGCGUCAACAAUAAGCACUAUAGCGUACGGUUGGUACAAGAAGGCCAUGUCAACGAUGGGGUGCAGACGAUUUUCGCUAGGUAGAUUCUUUUGCUGUUGAAGGAAUAGAAGAGGCCUUGACACUCCCGAAGACUUUGGGCGUACAUUCUGUUGUUCAGAGACUUUUUGGUAGAUAGGAGGUUUGUUAUGUAUUAAAGAUAGUUUUGAACUCUCGGAGUCGUUGGUCACCGACGAACUAGCAGAGACAUUGUGGGGAUUCCAAAUAAACGCAUGAGGGCUUCCAGAAGCGGCAAUGAGAAAAAGUGGCUCUCGUUCGACAGAACCUGCAGACGGACCUCUGUACCUAUAGAUUGGACUAGAUAUACAAGGCCAAGGAGAGUCGAAUUUGGUAUUCAAAUCUCUUAAUCCCAUGUCAUUGCCAGAAUCUAUAUCAAACUUUUUUUUUUCAUUAAAAGCAUCAAUUCCAACAGAUACCGGAAUCGGACUGGUGAGUGAAGAAUUCCAGUUUUCUAAGAAAACCUCUUCGGUUUUCCCUUUUUCAACGUCAAAAUUUACUAUGCCUGAAGCGGAUCUGUGACUCGCUGGAACUGCAUCUUCAAGAUUAACUUCUUUAUUAUCCAAGUUGGUAAGGACGCUAAAACUGAUACUGACUGUAGUGCUUCCAAACGAGUUUAACAUUCCGUGAUUUUCUAAAGGAUUGAUGGGAAUAGUAGAGUUAAUUGGCUGAGUACUACUUGAACUUGUACUUGAGCUACCUGGAACCUUGGUAACGGGACUAUUGUUAUUUCCGGAAGUAUACUCAUUAACGUUGCUACGUUUUUUGGUAACAUCUAAAAGAAGAUGCAUCUGAUCAAUCCUGGCUGGCAUAUGCCAAGAGCAUGAUAAUGUCCCAAAGCGGAGGUCCCAAAGUAAGAGCCAUCCUUUGGUAGUCCCAAUUAAAGCCCAAUUACAACCCUCAGAAACUACUACACUAGUAGCUGACCCACACUGUAAUGGUAAUUGGUCUGAUGACAAAACCCUCAUCAUUCCCACGUCUAAGUAUACGAUGCGUGACCAUUUUGUAACAACGACUAGACGGAUACUCCCGUCGUGAAAUGUAGAAGCUUCCAUGGAGGUUACAGAAUCACUGAAAUCCAAAUUGGGAAUACGACCAGCCGAAAUUAGAGUAUGCCGCUGAUUGUUAACGUCAAGUCUGUGAACUUCCACAGAGCCAUCUUGAGUAACAGAAGCAAAAGCGUAUGUAUUACCUAGAAAGCAUCCAUUGACCACAGAAAAUCUAUUCCUCUCGCCAUUACGUCGCGUAUGCCCAUAACUUAAUCGGCAUUCACAUCUCAUAGUUGAAAUAUGACGAACACUUUCAACUAAUUGCCAUGCUCUUACAACACCGUCAGAUCCCAAGGUAACGAAAAAAGAUGAAUCUGGACUAACCAAAACUUUCUUCGUACCUCCAUCAAGAAGGCUUCCUAAAUAUAUCUGAGCAACUCGUGAUCCUUCUGGAUGCCAUUCAUGAGUCUGAACUAUUUUAUUCGCAGCCUUCGCAGACACCUUUGUUCUACGACGCAAAGGUAUAUUAGAAGCCCAGCUUGGUGAAACAGCAGCACCAACGUUAAGUGUCGAAGCCGCUGCUUCUGCAUAAAUUUUAUUUAAAUAAUUUAAGACGCAUGGAUUAGUUCCAGUAUACGAUGAUUUUUUUGCGCCAUUUUGCCUCGUGGUAAGCUUUUUCAAAUCGAUAUGAGUAGUAAAUGAUCUUUGGCUUCGAAUACCGGCAACAUUAGUUGUAUCAUUCGUUGAAACCCUAGAAGAGAUCAACGGUGCGAGGCUUUUCCCCUUCGAUUCUUUAGCAUGUUUGUCAGAAUCUUUAGAAGAGACUAUUGCUUCUACAGAGGAAGGCUCCAAAGUAUUAUUUGUGAGUAAGGGGUUCUCAGUAUUAUAAGAAUUCAACCCACCGGUAUCGUCCGUUGGUUGAGUGACUGUGGGAUUGUGUGUGUCAACCUUGGAGCUAGCAGUGUCUGAAGGUAGUUUAAUUUCAGGAUUGUCCGUUUGUCUGUAUACAUCAUGAGUACCAGUAAUGGUCUCUCCAUUAUCAGAAUUAGACUCCCUAUUAAUAUCAACUUUGAUAUCUGAUUGUGAAACGUCUUUUGGUUUUGUGGUCGUACCAAAAGCAUUAGUCAUAUCCGUCCCUACAUAUGCAAUGGGAUCUCGAGCAAUUAAGUCAUCGUUAUAGGAGCGGCUUGUUUGAAUGGAUUCUGCAUAAGAAUUUCUGUCCAAGAAAGUUUCAUUGGCGAUAGAAGACGAAGGGGGUCUUUCUGGGUUCCAAAAAAUGGUUUCUGGUAAUAUGUGCAAGGGAGCAUUAGGGUAAGUAUUCAGUUCCCGUAAUCCACUUUGUCGUUUAUAGUUGAUUCCAUUUAAAUUAAUUUUCGUUUUCUUAACAUAAUCUCUCAAAUUAGCCAGUACCCAUAAGUGCUUUACAUCAACUCCCAUUUCUUUAAUGAUGUCAGCCCAUUUCUGGUCAUCUUCACUAAGCUCUAGCAUUUCUGUGGAAGUUAUAAUCACAUGGCCAGUUAGAGAGAUUUUUUUGUGAGUAUACACUUCUGCGUGGUGCAUUAUUUCUCUCUUUUGCAAAUUUUUGGUUCUUCCUAAAAGCGAAUCAUUGCUUACAUCAAGAGACGAGUAAGACGCAUCUUUAUCACACUUCCAAAAGCUUGAGUUUUCGGAUUCUUCAUACCAGCGGGUCAAAGUAGACCAAACACUAUCAGAUACCAUAGGCAAAAUAAAUUGAUCUAGCUUUUCUAAAGAGUUUAUAUCACAUAAAUUGGACAUCAAGUAAGGUCUUAAUAAAGGAGUUACAAUACAGUCCCUAUCAAUAUCAUCAAAACUUUGAUAUGCAGAGUAAAUAACAGACAAGGCAGCUCUUCGAAUAUAAGCAUUAGGUACAGCAACAAGUGGAAGCACAAGCUGUAAGAUAUCAACAACAACAAGCUUUUCAAAUAAGUGUAAUUCGAUCAGUCCAGAAAAAGAUCCCAAGACACUCUCAAGGACAGCUGGCUCAGGAUCUACUAAAGCCUGCAGCAUCAAGGGAAGUAUAUACUCAUCUACACUCCUUGGACCGAUGAAAAUGGAUAGACCGGUAAUACUUUCAAAAAAUGCACAACGAAGCAUCCAAUCCGUGUCAUUCAAGUAAGUUAUCAGAUGGCUCAAAAUCAAAUCGUUAGACUUUGCUUUACCGAAAAAAACACAAAGCGGAGCCAAAGCAUUCAGCAAAGAUCUACGAACAAUAGAAGAGCUGUCCGCUAAAAGAGUAGAAACGUGCCUUUCUACAGUAACUACUAAAUCGUGUCGACCGGUUUCAAAUAACAAUUCAGCCUUUCCAUGAUUUAUAUUUUCAUAUUCGGAUUCAGGAAACGAUAAAAUACCAGCAUUCCUUAAUGAUUGAGCCAAAUUUAAAAAUUUGGAAGCUUGUUUGGCUAAAAUUGGAAGGCAGGAUGCAUAUGUUGCUCGAGUACGAGAAUUCAUAUCGAAAAGAAAAUGCUGAAGGUCAGGAAAUAAAUACUCCUGAAAAAGAAAUGCAUUAAUCGGAGCAAUAGAGGUUACAUUACUAACUAGGCGAGUAAUCGUAAUAAGCGCACUAAUCCUUACAUCGGCGUAUUGGUCACGAAGCAAAGUCAUAACAAAAGGUAAAACUGUAUCAAGUUUGGACUCAUCGCAGAUGUUCCUUGAUAAAAUUUGCACCAAACUUAAAGCGUUUAUCUUAGAUUCUCUUGUAUUCACGUGUCUAAUAGUGGAAAGAACUAUGGGAAGAAGAACAGCGGCACCAUAAAGAUGAUUUUCAUCCGUUUCAAUAGAUGAAAUAUCCUCAAUGACUGAAGGAGAAGGUGCAGGUGUGGAACCUUGCUCUUUAUCCUCAAAUCCUUUUUUUUCUUGCAUAGUAUUAUACAGUCUUAGAUACCAAUUCUUGGCAGCAGGGUUUUUAUUAUAAAAUUCAUCAAGUGUGGUAAAAAGGGGUACAGAAUAAGAAUCUAUUCCAUUAUAUUCAUGAGGGGUGUGCAUAAGGUUUGAAAUGUCAUUAUUAUUUGGGGGCAUAAUAUCUCUGUAAAUGUCGUCAAUUCGAGAACCAUACAAACUGCAAGCGUCAUUAGGCUGCUUGGCAGAAAGAAUUCCGCUUGGAUCGACUAAACCAAUACAGUAAUCAUACAAAGUGUCAUAAAAGCAUGCAGGAAAAACGGUUCCUCGAUAUUUCUGCAAAUAGGCAUCAGCCGACAAUCGUUGACUGGGAUCUCUGUCUAGCAUACUUA